GGUAGCUUGGCCGAGCGGCACGUGACUACUUCCACUUUCAAUGUCAUUUGACUAACCUGUAUCAGGUCUAAGGCGGUAGAUUUAAGAUCUCUCUUAAAUCUCUACUGGGGAAACCCGCGUGAGUUCGAACCUCACAGCUACCA
Non-coding RNA from Kalmusia sp. IMI 367209, 143 nucleotides. NCBI's taxonomy places the organism in Eukaryota, Fungi, Ascomycota, Dothideomycetes, Pleosporales, Didymosphaeriaceae. The record is from the annotation of a GenBank genome assembly.